RNAcentral lists this ribosomal RNA (559 nucleotides) under Poecilimon ornatus. Its description in RNAcentral is "SSU rRNA". It matches the Rfam family "Eukaryotic small subunit ribosomal RNA", at positions 720 to 1163 of the family's 1831-position model. The record is from RNAcentral. Lineage: Eukaryota; Metazoa; Arthropoda; Insecta; Orthoptera; Tettigoniidae.
AUGAUUCGUGGGACGUCCUGCCGGUGGUGGCGAGUCGAAGGCGUGCUCCCGUCGUGGUUUCCACUUCGGUUCUUGUGCGCCCGAGGCGGACCCCGAUGAAAUCCUACCGCGGUGCUCUUCGCCGAGUGUCGAGGUGGGCCGGCACGUUUACUUUGAACAAAUUAGAGUGCUUAAAGCAGGCCUGUUGCGCCUGAAUACUGUGUGCAUGGAAUAAUGGAAUAGGACCUCGGUUCUAUUUUGUUGGUUUUCGGAACCCGAGGUAAUGAUUAAUAGGGACAGGCGGGGGCAUUCGUAUUGCGACGUUAGAGGUGAAAUUCUUGGAUCGUCGCAAGACGGACCGAAGCGAAAGCAUUUGCCAAGUAUGUUUUCAUUAAUCAAGAACGAAAGUUAGAGGUUCGAAGGCGAUCAGAUACCGCCCUAGUUCUAACCAUAAACGAUGCCAGCUAGCGAUCCGCCGAAGUUCCUCCGAUGACUCGGCGGGCAGCUCCCGGGAAACCAAAGCUUUUGGGUUCCGGGGGAAGUAUGGUUGCAAGCUGAAACUUAAAGGAUUGACGGAAGG